UACGUAGGGGGCAAGCGUUAUCCGGAUUUACUGGGUGUAAAGGGAGCGUAGACGGCUGUGCAAGUCUGAAGUGAAAGGCAUGGGCUCAACCUGUGGACUGCUUUGGAAACUGUGCAGCUAGAGUGUCGGAGAGGUAAGUGGAAUUCCUAGUGUAGCGGUGAAAUGCGUAGAUAUUAGGAGGAACACCAGUGGCGAAGGCGGCUUACUGGAUGAUGACUGACGUUGAGGCUCGAAAGCGUGGGGAGCAAACAGG
Molecule: ribosomal RNA, 253 nt
Filed under: Dorea formicigenerans
Lineage: Bacteria; Bacillati; Bacillota; Clostridia; Lachnospirales; Lachnospiraceae
Description: partial 16S ribosomal RNA
Rfam family: Bacterial small subunit ribosomal RNA
Source: RNAcentral